Molecule: ribosomal RNA, 490 nt
Filed under: Melaloncha gibberosa
Lineage: Eukaryota; Metazoa; Arthropoda; Insecta; Diptera; Phoridae
Description: partial 16S ribosomal RNA
Source: RNAcentral
GUUUAUCAAAAACAUGUCUUUUUGAAUUUAAUUUAAAGUCUGACCUGCCCACUGAAAUUUUAAAUGGCCGCAGUAUUUUAACUGUGCAAAGGUAGCAUAAUCAUUAGUCUUUUAAUUGGAGGCUGGAAUGAAUGGUUGAAUGAAAUAUUAACUGUUUCAAAUAAAUUUAUAAUAGAAUUUUAUUUUUUAGUUAAAAAGCUAAAAUUUUAUUAAAAGACGAGAAGACCCUAUAAAUCUUUAUAUUUAUGUUUAUAUUUGUUAUAUAGAUUAUUAUAAUUUUUAUAAAUUUAAAUAUUUUAUUGGGGUGAUAUUAAAAUUUAAUAAACUUUUAAUUAAGUAUUAACAUUAAUUAGUGAAAUAUUGAUCCAUAAAUAAUGAUUAAUAAAUUAAGUUACUUUAGGGAUAACAGCGUAAUUUUUUUAGAAAGUUCAUAUUAAUAAAAAAGGUUGCGACCUCGAUGUUGGAUUAAGAUAAAAUUUAGGUGAAGAAG